AGCAGGCGCGCAAAUUACCCAAUCCCGACACGGGGAGGUAGUGACAAUAAAUAACAAUACGGGGUUCUUUAGGAUCUCGUAAUUGGAAUGAGUACAAUUUAAAUCUCUUAACGAGGAACAAUUGGAGGGCAAGUCUGGUGCCAGCAGCCGCGGUAAUUCCAGCUCCAAUAGCGUAUAUUAAAGUUGUUGCAGUUAAAAAGCUCGUAGUUGAAUUUCGGGGUUAGNAGGUUGGUCAUGCCUCUGGUAUGUACUGGUCUCACUGAUUCCUCCUUCCUUAUGAACCGUAAUGCCAUUAAUUUGGUGUUGCGGGGAAUUUGGACUGUUACUUUGAAAAAAUUAGAGUGUUUAAAGCAAGCUAACGCUUGAAUACAUUAGCAUGGAAUAAUGAAAUAGGACGUUCGAUCUUAUUUUGUUGGUUUCUAGGAUUGACGUAAUGAUUAAUAGGGAUAGUUGGGGGCAUUAGUAUUCAAUUGUCAGAGGUGAAAUUCUUGGACUUAUUGAAGACUAACUACUGCGAAAGCAUUUGCCAAGGAUGUUUUCAUUAAUCAAGAACGAAAGUUAGGGGAUCGAAGACGAUCAGAUACCGUCGUAGUCUUAACCAUAAACUAUGCCGACUAGGGAUCGGAUGAUGUUAAUUUUUUAAUGACUCAUUCGGCGCCUUACGGGAAACCAAAGUGUUUGGGUUCA
Molecule: ribosomal RNA, 687 nt
Filed under: uncultured Glomeromycotina
Lineage: Eukaryota; Fungi; Glomeromycota
Description: SSU rRNA
Rfam family: Eukaryotic small subunit ribosomal RNA
Source: RNAcentral